UGCACCAGUGAUGAUGGCUGGUGGUGUAGGAGUAAGUCACGGAUGAUGGAUAUUACGUGUGGAACUCUCAGAUCCGA
RNAcentral lists this small nucleolar RNA (77 nucleotides) under Rhinolophus ferrumequinum (greater horseshoe bat). Its description in RNAcentral is "Small nucleolar RNA SNORD113/SNORD114 family (ENSRFEG00010005173.1)". It matches the Rfam family "Small nucleolar RNA SNORD113/SNORD114 family". Rfam says of the family: The imprinted human domain at 14q32 contains two clusters of tandemly repeated small nucleolar RNAs named 14q(I) and 14q(II) snoRNAs. These two clusters are named SNORD113 and SNORD114 respectively in the HGNC approved gene symbol nomenclature. The snoRNAs found in both clusters are clearly related and are represented here by a single family. Lineage: Eukaryota; Metazoa; Chordata; Mammalia; Chiroptera; Rhinolophidae. The record is from Rfam by way of RNAcentral.